RNAcentral lists this ribosomal RNA (629 nucleotides) under uncultured Bacilli bacterium. RNAcentral's name for it is "bacterial SSU rRNA". It matches the Rfam family "Bacterial small subunit ribosomal RNA", at positions 140 to 757 of the family's 1533-position model. Lineage: Bacteria; Bacillati; Bacillota; Bacilli. The record is from RNAcentral.
GGGAUAACUAUUGGAAACGAUAGCUAAUACCGCAUAACAGUAGAUAUCGCAUGAUAUGUGCUUGAAAGGUGCAAUUGCAUCACUACCAGAUGGACCUGCGUUGUAUUAGCUAGUUGGUGAGGUAACGGCUCACCAAGGCAACGAUACAUAGCCGACCUGAGAGGGUGAUCGGCCACACUGGGACUGAGACACGGCCCAGACUCCUACGGGAGGCAGCAGUAGGGAAUCUUCGGCAAUGGACGGAAGUCUGACCGAGCAACGCCGCGUGAGUGAAGAAGGUUUUCGGAUCGUAAAGCUCUGUUGUAAGAGAAGAACGAGUGUGAGAGUGGAAAGUUCACACUGUGACGGUAUCUUACCAGAAAGGGACGGCUAACUACGUGCCAGCAGCCGCGGUAAUACGUAGGUCCCGAGCGUUGUCCGGAUUUAUUGGGCGUAAAGCGAGCGCAGGCGGUUAGAUAAGUCUGAAGUUAAAGGCUGUGGCUUAACCAUAGUACGCUUUGGAAACUGUUUAACUUGAGUGCAAGAGGGGAGAGUGGAAUUCCAUGUGUAGCGGUGAAAUGCGUAGAUAUAUGGAGGAACACCGGUGGCGAAAGCGGCUCUCUGGCUUGUAACUGACGCUGAGGCUCGAA